Ipomoea triloba (trilobed morning glory) is the source of this 1479-nucleotide RNA transcript. It is a transcript of the gene named cellulose synthase A catalytic subunit 6 [UDP-forming]-like, with no coding region annotated. The transcript is spliced from 3 exons. The record is from RefSeq and is a predicted model, not a curated record. Lineage: Eukaryota; Viridiplantae; Streptophyta; Magnoliopsida; Solanales; Convolvulaceae.
CGAAGAAAGCUUUAGUCUUGAAGAUUCAGUCUUGAACAAGUCUGGAUACAAUGUGGCAAAUCCGACGAUCGACGAUGAAGCCCAGCCUCAAGGCCGACGACGAAGCUAGCAGUCGACGUCGCCGCCUCCCGCCCUCCCCUACGAAUCUGCGAAGAAGCAGACAGACGACGACGACGCUGCCUCCUUCCCUCACCUGCGAAUCUGCAAAUCUGGGUUACUUCUGUAAAGGAAUUGAGUGGACAGAGUUGUCAGAAUUGUGGAGAUGAGAUUGAAAUUACACUUGAUGGGGAGCCAUUUGUUGCUUGCAAUGAAUGUGCAUUCCUUGUUUGUCGACCCUGUUAUGAGUAUGAAAGGAGGGAAGGCAAUCAAGCUUGUCCUCAGUGCAAAACUAGGUACAAGCGCUUAAAAGGGAGUCCUAGAGUUGAAGGAGAUGAAGAAGAGGAUGAUUUUGAUGAUCUUGACCAUGAGUUUGAUUAUAAUAGCAGUGUAAGAAGAGAUCAUCACCGCGUUGCUGAGGCAGCACUAGCUGCUCGCCUUAAUGUUGGUUAUGGUGGUAACGGUUCUGACCUGGGAUCAUGACACCAUUGGAAGCAAGGGUUGUGGUGGGAUCUGUUGAAUAAAAUUUAACGUAUGCAACCUAGGAAAUUAGGAAGUGCGUUUAACGUCAAAAUGGGGCUGAUGAUGAAAAGCACGGUCAAAAUGGGGCUAAUGAAGAAAGACCACGGGAAAGGACAAAAAUGCCCUUCAAUUUCACGGUGAUUUAACGCCAAUUUAGACGGUGGACUAAAAUUGUCCACCUUUAACAAAGUCAGGGUAAAAUGUGGUCAAAUUAAUAAAUCCGGACUAAAUAUGUCCAAUGCACAAUAAGUCUAGGACAAAAAAAGGAUUUUAGGUACACCGAAGGAAUAGCAAAACCUCAAACUCAAAUUUGAGCAAAAUUCAUAUAUCAUUAAAUGAAUCAGACCAUCAAAACCUCAAAAUUCAUCCCCUUCAUACACACUCACAGUCUUAUACGUAAAAAACAAUAGCUACUGCCUAUCAUAAUUUAGUAAAACAAAUUUCUCAAAAGUUCCAUCUGCCGCCUACCUUCACCAUCUCACAUAGCUACUGCUAACUGAUACACCAUACACAUAAAAUACACAUAUAACUGCACACAAGCUUGAAGCCUUGAAGUAAUCCAGCAAAACAGUAGAAAAGUAGAAAACUAUGUAGAAACUAGAAAAUAAGAAUGGAGGAAGUGAGGAACACUUACCGUCUCUGGUGGAGGCUGGUUCGGCGCAGGCGGUGGGCGAAGGCCGAAUGCGGAGGGGAGGCAGAGGGUAAGCGCGGUGGUCUGUGGGGCGUGGGCGAAGCCGCAGAGGCAGAGGAACCACAAUCAUGCUACUCAAUCACAUGGUCUUUGGCCAUUAAUUUAUUUGAUUGUUUAAAGAAAUUUUGAUUAAUUUAAAAAUCUAAUGCGCCAUGAAAAAUACUUCAGUU